Molecule: transfer RNA, 74 nt
Filed under: bacterium (Candidatus Gribaldobacteria) CG08_land_8_20_14_0_20_39_15
Lineage: Bacteria; Candidatus Gribaldobacteria
Description: tRNA-Ala
Rfam family: tRNA
About the family: Transfer RNA (tRNA) molecules are approximately 80 nucleotides in length. Their secondary structure includes four short double-helical elements and three loops (D, anti-codon, and T loops).
Source: RNAcentral
GGGCCUAUAGCAUAAUGGCAAUGUACUGCAUUCGCAUUGCAGUGAUGGCAGUUCGAUUCUGCCUAGGUCCACCA